RNAcentral lists this ribosomal RNA (490 nucleotides) under uncultured bacterium. RNAcentral describes it as "bacterial SSU rRNA". It matches the Rfam family "Bacterial small subunit ribosomal RNA", at positions 30 to 507 of the family's 1533-position model. The record is from RNAcentral.
AUUGAACGCUGGCGGCAUGCUUUACACAUGCAAGUCGGACGGCAGCACAGAGAAGCUUGCUUCUUGGGUGGCGAGUGGCGAACGGGUGAGUAACAUAUCGGAACGUACCGAGCAGUGGGGGAUAACUAAUCGAAAGAUUAGCUAAUACCGCAUAUUUUCUGAGGAAGAAAGCAGGGGACCAUUUGGCCUUGCGCUGUUUGAGCGGCCGAUAUCUGAUUAGCUAGUUGGUGGGGUAAAGGCCUACCAAGGCGACGAUCAGUAGCGGGUCUGAGAGGAUGAUCCGCCACACUGGGACUGAGACACGGCCCAGACUCCUACGGGAGGCAGCAGUGGGGAAUUUUGGACAAUGGGCGCAAGCCUGAUCCAGCCAUGCCGCGUGUCUGAAGAAGGCCUUCGGGUUGUAAAGGACUUUUGUCAGGGAAGAAAAGGGCGGGGUUAAUACCCCUGUCUGAUGACGGUACCUGAAGAAUAAGCACCGGCUAACUACGUG